AUGGAAACUUCCAGCCCCACAGGAGAUUCCAGCCCCACAAGAGGUUCCAGCCCCACAGGAGGUUCCAGCCCCAUAGAAAUGUCCAGUCGCAUGGAAACUUCCAACCCCAUAGAAAAUUCCAGCCCCAUCCCAGUGCAAUCCCAGCCCCACAUCCCAACCCUGACCCCACACCCCAAUCCCUGCCCCACAUUCCAAAUCCCAGCCCCACACCCCAAGCCCACACCCCAAAUCCCGGCCUCACACCCCAAUCCCAGACCCCAAUCCCAGCCCCACACCCCAAUCCCUGCCCCACACCCCAAUCCCUCUCCCGGUCCCCAUCCCUGUCCCCGCUCACCUGGGCAGGUUCUGGACUUUGGGGUCCUCCCUCCCCUGGCCCCGUUUUUAUCCCCCCGCAGCCCCCGCCCCCCCCCCGGGCAAACACUGCGGGGCCGAGGGGCAGCGCGGGGGGGCCCGUGUCCCCUCCCCGGGACUGUCCCCGUGUCCCCUCCCCGGGACUGUCCCCGUGUCCCCAAGGGCCACCAGGGGCCGGGGGGGCCCCGCGGGGCGAAGGUUGUCACCCGCAGUGUCACCGACCCUCGGACCCCUGCCCGGGUGGGGGGGGGGGGACCACACAGUGGGGACCCCCCGGGCUGGGGCCAGCGCUGGGGACACGGGGACAAAGGGCAGUGGUGGCGCUGGCGACAAAAGGUCGGAGUCCCCCCGGUCAGCGGCGGGGAUGGGGACAGGGAUGAGGGACGUGGGGACAGGGCAGGGGACGAGGAGGGGCUGGCGACAGAGAUGGCGCGGGGAGGGGACAGCGGGCUGAGGGGAUGGCGACAGAGGGGACACGGCGGGGACACAGCGUGGGGACAGGGAUGUGGGGAGGGGACAUUGUGGGGUUCCAGAGAUUCGGGGACACUGAGGAGGUGUCGGCACAGAGCCGGGACGCCCCAGGCACGGAGGAGGGACACGACGGCGACAUGGGACACACGGCGGGGACAGGGGGCGGGCGGUGGGGGAGGUGGCACGGGAGGGAACAGGGUCUGGGGGGAGACCAGGGAUGCGGGGAGGGCGCACGGGGGGACACGGAGGUCACAGGACACGCGGGGGACACGCGGGGAUUUGGGGACACGCGCGGGUCUGGGGACACGCGGGGGUUUGGGGACACGCGGGUUUGGGGACACGCACGGGUUUGGGGACACGCGCGGGGACAGGAGGGUGGCGCGGAACGCGCCCGCCACGGAACGUCUCCGCUGGUGCCCGGCGGGUCCGGAGGGGUCGCAUUCCGGCGCGGCCCCGCCCUCCUCUCCCAGCCAAUGA
RNAcentral lists this long non-coding RNA (1299 nucleotides) under Cyanoderma ruficeps (rufous-capped babbler). Its description in RNAcentral is "lncRNA (ENSCRFG00000005788.1)". Lineage: Eukaryota; Metazoa; Chordata; Aves; Passeriformes; Timaliidae. The record is from RNAcentral.